RNAcentral lists this ribosomal RNA (465 nucleotides) under uncultured Klebsiella sp. RNAcentral's name for it is "bacterial SSU rRNA". It matches the Rfam family "Bacterial small subunit ribosomal RNA", at positions 338 to 795 of the family's 1533-position model. The record is from RNAcentral. Lineage: Bacteria; Pseudomonadati; Pseudomonadota; Gammaproteobacteria; Enterobacterales; Enterobacteriaceae.
CCUACGGGUGGCUGCAGUGGGGAAUAUUGCACAAUGGGCGCAAGCCUGAUGCAGCCAUGCCGCGUGUGUGAAGAAGGCCUUCGGGUUGUAAAGCACUUUCAGCGGGGAGGAAGGCGUUAAGGUUAAUAACCUUGUCGAUUGACGUUACCCGCAGAAGAAGCACCGGCUAACUCCGUGCCAGCAGCCGCGGUAAUACGGAGGGUGCAAGCGUUAAUCGGAAUUACUGGGCGUAAAGCGCACGCAGGCGGUCUGUCAAGUCGGAUGUGAAAUCCCCGGGCUCAACCUGGGAACUGCAUUCGGAACUGGCAGGCUAGAGUCUUGUAGAGGGGGGUAGAAUUCCAGGUGUAGCGGUGAAAUGCGUAGAGAUCUGGAGGAAUACCGGUGGCAAAGGCGGCCCCCUGGACAAAGACUGACGCUCAGGUGCGAAAGCGUGGGGAGCAAACAGGAUUAGAUACCCCUGUAGUC